CAGACUCAAACUGGUCUGACAUAACCCUGCCUUUAACAUUGCAUCUAGUGAUGGCCACCUGCAGUUCAAAUAUUCCAUAUUCUCAGCUUGAUCCACAAAUUUCCGAGCUCUGAGUAGCGCUCAUAUUUGUAUGUAUAUCUUUCAGGAUUGUGAUGAAGGUAAUUUCAGCCAUCAAGUCCACACCCGCUAGAACAUCUAACAAACAGUACAAUUCAACGACUCAGCCACACACACUAUUGGCAAUUUAAAAUGACCAAUUGACCUUCCAUCUGCACAACAUGUGGAUGAGUGUGGAAACUGGAGCACCUGGGGGAAAUACAUGCAGUCACAGGAAGAACAUGCAAACUCCGCAUAGACAGCACCCAAGACUCUUAUGUCAGUGACCAUCCAACUGUGACUGCAUGAUAUUCAGUGACAAUACCUGGGUGUUCCAAGACCGUGUGAAGAGAUUGCGGCUGCUGUGGACCUAUUGUGGUGAUUGACAAAUUGCAGUGAGUCCACGUCCUUGCUGAGGUGGGAACUUCUAACCGUAGCAAUGAGAGGCUGAAACUGUUCUUGAAUACUCCCGCCAGCUGUUUGGCACAGGCUUUCAGAACCUCAUCAGAUACUUCAUCGGGGCCUGCCACCUUGCGAAGGUUCAUCCUCCCCAAAGACAGCCCAACAUCAGUCUCCGAGACAGAGAUCACAGGGUCACCGGAUGUAGCAGGGAUCUUCACAGCUGUAGUUAUAUUCUCCCUUUCAAAGCGGGUAUAGAAGGUUUUGAGUUUGAAUGGUAGUGAAGCAAUACUGCCACUCAUGCUAGUGGGUUUCGCUUUGUAGAAACUAAUGUCUUGCAAACCCUGCUAGAGUUGUUGCACAUCCGAUGUCGCCUCCAACCUCACUUGGAAUAGCCCUCUGCAAGUCAUACCUGGUUUCCCUUUACAGACCUGGGUCACCAGACUUAAAUGCCACAGAUCUAGCUGUCAGCAGACAACGUACCUCCUGCUUCAUCUAUGGCUUUUGCUUUGGGAAUGUACGGUAAGUCUUUAGGCGCACACACUCAUCCACACAGGUUUUACACAACUGUAGUAUACACAUCCAGAUUCAAAGAUGAGUCCCUAAAUGCAGACCAGUCCACCAAUUCAAAGCAGUCCUGUAGGCACUCCUGUGCUUCCCUUGUCCAUACCUUCACUACUGGUGCUGCAGUCUUAGUCUCUGCCUGUAGCCAGGGAGAAGAAAUACAGCCAGGUGAUCAGACAUUCUGAAGUGAGGGCAUGGAACAGCACGGUAGGCAUUCUUGAUGGUGGUGUAGCAGUGGUCCAGUGUGUUGCUUCCUCUGGUACUACAAGUGAUUUGUUGAUGACAAUUAUUUAGUGACUUUUUCAAGCUGGCCUGGUUAAAAUCCCCCAAAAUGAUGGUGAAGGAGUCAGGGUGUGCUGUUUUGUACAUGUUGAUCCCAUUGCUCAGAUCAUCUGGAACCCAUUUGACAUUGGCCUGAGGUGGAAUGCAAACUGCUUCCAAAAUGAUCGCAGUAAUCUCCCACGGCAGGUAAAAUGGACGGAUCUUAGUUGCAAGAUAUUCCAGGUCUGGUGAGCAGAAUUGAGAUAACACUGAUACAUCUGUGCACCAAGAGCAGUUGACCAUGAGACACUGUGGAAAGGAGUAACAGUCGACCUUUCGGGCCAGGACCCUUCAGCAGGACUGAAAUGUCAUCUGUAAUCUUGAAAUAAUCAAGUUCAGUAGUGUGACACAGGCUUGAGAUAAACUUCUAGAAAAGACAGUAUCAACUGUACGAUUACUGAAUAUUCAUUGAACAUUUACACACAUACCCAUGCUAAAAUUAUAUGCAAGCACAGAAAAGUCAAACUACAACAAAAAUACACUCUAAGGCUAUAAGACACAGGAGCAAAAUUAGGCCAUUCAGUCCUUUGAGUCUGCUCCACCAUUCCUUCAUGGCUGAUUUAUUAUCCCUCUCAGCCCCGUACUCCUGCCUUCUACCCAUAACCUUUGAAGACAUGACUAAUCAAGACCCUAAUAAAAGCAAACCAACAUCAUACAUUAUUGGGUGGUUCGUGGUUUGUAUGGAUUCAGAGGGCUGUAGGAUUCAUUUCCAUGUCUUGUGACUCUCUAUAUCUAUAGAAAUCAUAAACCCCCUAACUUUCUGUACAAAGUAUAUUCUUAAUUUAUAUAGCACCCAACAUAGCAACCCAAACAUUGAAAACAGUUAAGCACUUCAGUGUAGCAAAUGCCCUAACAGAGAAAUUUGGGUCAACUUGAGCACUGUAUCUCCCACAAAUUACAACACAACAGCAAUAACCUGCUUUAUAACAAUGUUAAAUUCAAGUUCAAGUUUAUUGUCAUCUGACUGUGCAUAUACAGGCAGUCCUCGGGUUACGAACAAGUUCUGUUCCGGAGUCUGUCUUUAAGUCAGAUUUGUAUGCAAGUUGGAACAGGUACAUCUGGUAUUAUUUAGCGUCAGUUAGUCAAACGUUUGUCUUAGUAUAUGGUAUAUAUUUUACCUUUCUAUGCAUAUAAAACACUUAAGAGAUGUAUGCAUUUCAAUAAUUAAACCACUGCGUUGCUUAGUAAUAAUUGUAGCUUUCAUCGGGGCUGAGCCUUUCACAUGCUCCAUUAUUCUCACCUUAUCCUUUAAAAUUGUUCCGAUCGUUGACCGACUGUAGCCUAACACUUUUCCAGUGACCGAUGGCAUCUCACCUCUUUCUGAUCACUUUAUUAUUUCCACUUUAUUUUCAAUCGUGAUCAUUUUCCAUCAACGGAACAGAAACACUGCAGAUUCAGCAGCAGCUAUGGGCAGCAAGUCCUGACCUGAGCUCCCCUGGGUCCUAAAGUCCACUGCACUGAGACUAGUUAAAUGGGACAAGCGGGUCUGUGCUGACUGGAAAAGUGGGGGGGGGGGGGUGGGGGGCUCAGGGUGAAUCUUGCUAAGAAAAAUUUAAGCCAAAUACGAUGUUACACACUCAACACAGUGUGGAAUUCGGUAACGACUUAAAAUGGCGGACGGCGUCAUGGUCCGACUUAAAAUGGUGGACGGUGUUUUCCUUCCUCGGUUCAUGAGUACAAGUUGUUCAUAAGUCAGAUGUUUGUAACUUGGGGACUGCCUGUAUACAACCAAAUGAAACAACAUUCCUUGGGAUCACGGUGCAGCCUCAAAACAUAUAGUACACACAACAUAUAAAACAGUAUGACAAAUGAGUAAAUAAAAUAUAAUUCAAAAUGCAUGUAGUGUGCAGCACACUUAAAACUGUAAUCUGUACAUUAUUGCCCUUGGCACUGGGAUAAUCUUAAAUUUUGAAAUAUGAACACAAUUAACAAUUAAGUUCACUUGAUGUAGUUGAUGGUUUAAUUGUAAAAGGCUGCAAACCCUCAGAGAUGUACACACAAAAUGCUGGAGGAGCUCAGCAGGCCAGGCAAUAACUGUGGAAAAGAGUAAGCAACCAAUAUUUUGGGCCAAGGCCCUUCAUCAGGACAGAAGAUUUGAACUUUUCAGGGUAGGCAUCCCUGGAAGAGACCUUUCAGUGAAUCAGAAACAAAAAAAUCUGCAGAUUCUAGAAAUCAAAGUAAUACAUACAAAAUGCUGGAGGAACUCAGCAGACCAGGCCACAGCUUUGGAAAAGAGUAAACAGUUGACAUUUUGGGCAGAGACCCUUUAUCAGGCCUGCUGAGUUCCUCCAGUAUUUUGUAUGUGUAACUUUGAUUGCCAGCAUCUGCAGAUUUUCUCGUUUGUAAACUCUCUGACCUGCACCACUUGUUAAAUUUGCAUUUAAUUUCAUGUAGAGACUUGAACCAACAUUUCUUGUUAGAGGGUGUGCCAUAUUUUCUGUAAUCUUCAGGGGUUGAAAAUCUAAGGAUGUUAUUGUGUAUGGUUUCUUCCCCCAAGCUCUCAGACUCCUCAAUACCCGAAGCCAGGACUGACACCUUGCCCUACUGUCCUGUUUAUUAUUGAUUGUAAUGUCUGCACUGUUUUUGUGCACUUUAUGCAGUCCAGUGUAGGUCUGUAGUCUAGUAUAGCUUUCUCUGUGUUUUUAUUACGUAGUUCAAUCUAGUUUUUUGUACUGUGUCAUGUAAACCAUGGUCCAGAAAAAUGUCUCAUUUUUACUAUGCACUGUACCAGCAGUUAUGGUCGAAAUGACAAUAAAAGUUGACUUGACUUGA
Molecule: RNA transcript, 4152 nt
Organism: Hypanus sabinus (Atlantic stingray)
Lineage: Eukaryota; Metazoa; Chordata; Chondrichthyes; Myliobatiformes; Dasyatidae
Exons: 5
Source: RefSeq, a predicted model, not a curated record